UACAACAGGUUGUGUGACUCACAGACUGGGAAGGGUUUUAAAAUCUAAAGCAGAAGAUUAGGUGUAUUUGCAAGGUAGAAUGCAAUAAAAGAAUACAUUUCUCCGUGCACCAGAGGAAGGGGCUCAAAACACCCUCUCCUGAGGAAUUCUACUGCAUAUCAGUGAAGUAAAGAAUGACCAGGCAAUACUCUUUGAAAAUUGGAGACCAUUUGCAGCUGCUCUCUGCUGAGGAAAGUGAAUAAUAGGGUGCCCUCAAGGAAUUUCAAAGGUAUCACUCAACAGAAACUUUUGUGUCUGAAGAAAACUAGAUCAUUUUAUCAUGGAGCCAGCAGCCAGCUGUCCCAUGUCGUGCCGCCUACUGCAUCCUGGACUAGGCCAGUGACUUCCACGUGGCCGAAGAGGAGGAGGCCAUCAAUGACACCACAGACUCCAGGGUGCUCUGACACCAUCUCCAAAUUGUCAAGCAGCAGUCCUGGGCCUGCACCACCGGCAGCAACUUGUGGGCUCAGAUCAUUCUGGGCACUUGGCAUAAUGAACAGUGGGUCUGGAACUUUCACAUGUACCCAACCACCUUCAUGAACUUCAUUUCUCAGCAGACCCCGGCAUCAAGUAAACCCUCACUCCAGAGAAGUAGGUUGCCAUUGCCAUCUGGAAGCUGGCCACCCCUUACAACAUCCACUCCGUUGGCAACCACAUUAGUAUUGUCAAAUC
Long non-coding RNA from Alligator sinensis (Chinese alligator), 711 nucleotides. RefSeq lists it as uncharacterized. The transcript is spliced from 3 exons. The record is from RefSeq and is a predicted model, not a curated record. NCBI's taxonomy places the organism in Eukaryota, Metazoa, Chordata, Crocodylia, Alligatoridae.